RNAcentral lists this ribosomal RNA (253 nucleotides) under uncultured prokaryote. Its description in RNAcentral is "partial 16S ribosomal RNA". It matches the Rfam family "Bacterial small subunit ribosomal RNA", at positions 525 to 777 of the family's 1533-position model. The record is from RNAcentral.
ACAGAGGGUGCGAGCGUUGUUCGGAAUUAUUGGGCGUAAAGGGCGCGUAGGCGGUGCGGUAAGUCACCUGUGAAAGCUCCCGGCCCAACUGGGAGAGGCCGUUCGAAACUUCGAGACUUGAAGGCGGGAGAGGCAGAUGGAAUUUCCGGUGUAGCGGUAAAAUGCGUAGAUACCGGAAGGAACACCAGUGGCGAAAGCGAUCUGCUGGCCCGCCCUUGACGCUCAGGCGCGAAAGCUAGGGGAGCGACCGGGA